This 445-nucleotide ribosomal RNA is filed under the name uncultured bacterium. Its description in RNAcentral is "partial 16S ribosomal RNA". It matches the Rfam family "Bacterial small subunit ribosomal RNA", at positions 330 to 792 of the family's 1533-position model. The record is from RNAcentral.
ACCAGACUCCUACGGGAGGCAGCAGUGGGGGAUAUUGCACAAUGGGGGGAACCCUGAUGCAGCGACGCCGCGUGGGUGAAGAAGCGCCUCGGCGCGUAAAGCCCUGUCAGCAGGGAAGAAAAUGACGGUACCUGAAGAAGAAGCCCCGGCUAACUACGUGCCAGCAGCCGCGGUAAUACGUAGGGGGCAAGCGUUAUCCGGAUUUACUGGGUGUAAAGGGGGCGCAGACGGCGAUGCAAGCCAGGAGUGAAAGCCCGGGGCCCAACCCCGGGACUGCUCUGGGAACUGCGUGGCUGGAGUGCAGGAGGGGCAGGCGGAAUUCCUGGUGUAGCGGUGAAAUGCGUAGAUAUCAGGAGGAACACCGGUGGCGAAGGCGGCCUGCUGGACUGCAACUGACGUUGAGGCCCGAAAGCGUGGGGAGCAAACAGGAUUAGAUACCCCAGUA